Molecule: transfer RNA, 73 nt
Filed under: Erinaceus europaeus (western European hedgehog)
Lineage: Eukaryota; Metazoa; Chordata; Mammalia; Eulipotyphla; Erinaceidae
Rfam family: tRNA
About the family: Transfer RNA (tRNA) molecules are approximately 80 nucleotides in length. Their secondary structure includes four short double-helical elements and three loops (D, anti-codon, and T loops).
Source: Rfam by way of RNAcentral
UGGGCUGUAGCGCAGCGGGUUAAGCGCAGGUGGUGCAAAGCACAAGGACCAGGUUCAAACCCUGGCUCCCCAC